CAGUCGCCGCGGGAAUACGUAGGGUGCAAGCGUUAAUCGGAAUUACUGGGCGUAAAGCGUGCGCAGGCGGUUUGUUAAGACAGAUGUGAAAUCCCCGGGCUCAACCUGGGAACUUCAUUUGUGACUGGCAAGCUAGAGUGUGGCAGAGGGGGGUGGAAUUCCGCGUGUAGCAGUGAAAUGCGUAGAUAUGCGGAGGAACACCGAUGGCGAAGGCAGCCCCCUGGGCCAACACUGACGCUCAUGCACGAAAGCGUGGGGAGCAAACAGGAUUAGAUACCCCGGUAGUCCCUGUCUCUUAUAC
RNAcentral lists this ribosomal RNA (301 nucleotides) under uncultured bacterium. RNAcentral describes it as "partial 16S ribosomal RNA". It matches the Rfam family "Bacterial small subunit ribosomal RNA", at positions 509 to 807 of the family's 1533-position model. The record is from RNAcentral.